UACGUAGGGUGCGAGCGUUGUCCGGAAUUAUUGGGCGUAAAGAGCUCGUAGGCGGUUUGUCGCGUCGGCCGUGAAAACUUGGGGCUUAACCCUGAGCUUGCGGUCGAUACGGGCAUGACUGGAGUUCGGCAGGGGAGACUGGAAUUCCUGGUGUAGCGGUGAAAUGCGCAGAUAUCAGGAGGAACACCGGUGGCGAAGGCGGGUCUCUGGGCCGAUACUGACGCUGAGGAGCGAAAGCGUGGGGAGCGAACAGG
This 254-nucleotide ribosomal RNA is filed under the name uncultured bacterium. RNAcentral's name for it is "partial 16S ribosomal RNA". It matches the Rfam family "Bacterial small subunit ribosomal RNA", at positions 524 to 776 of the family's 1533-position model. The record is from RNAcentral.